CUCAGAAACUUAAAGGAAGUUGACGGGACCCGGCACAAGCGUGGAGCAUGUGGUUUAAUUCGACGAUACGCGAAGAACCUUACCUGGCCUUGACAUACUAAAAAGCUUUAAGAGAUUAGAGUGUGCUAGCUUGCUAGAAUUUAGAUACAGGUGCUGCACGGCUGUCGUCAGCUCGUGUCGUGAGAUGUUGGGUUAAGUCCCGCAACGAGCGCAACCCUCGUGUUUAGUUGCUAACAGUUCGGCUGAGAACUCUAAACAGACUGCCUACGCAAGUAGGAGGAAGGUGAGGACGACGUCAAGUCAUCAUGGCCCUUACGGCCAGGGCUACACACGUGCUACAAUGGAGUAUACAAAGAGCAGCGAUACGGUGACGUGGAGCAAAUCUAGAAAAUGCCUCUCAGUUCGGAUUGUAGUCUGCAACUCGACUACAUGAAGUUGGAAUCGCUAGUAAUCGUAGAUCAGCAAUGCUACGGUGAAUACGUUCCCGGGUCUU
RNAcentral lists this ribosomal RNA (493 nucleotides) under uncultured Arcobacter sp. Its description in RNAcentral is "bacterial SSU rRNA". It matches the Rfam family "Bacterial small subunit ribosomal RNA", at positions 892 to 1382 of the family's 1533-position model. The record is from RNAcentral. Lineage: Bacteria; Pseudomonadati; Campylobacterota; Epsilonproteobacteria; Campylobacterales; Arcobacteraceae.